Molecule: ribosomal RNA, 225 nt
Filed under: uncultured bacterium
Lineage: Bacteria
Description: partial 16S ribosomal RNA
Rfam family: Bacterial small subunit ribosomal RNA
Source: RNAcentral
UACGUAGGCAGCAAGCGUUGUUCGGAGUUACUGGGCGUAAAGGGUGCGUAGGCGGCUUUUUAAGUUUGGUGUGAAAUCUCCCGGCUCAACUGGGAGGGUGCGCCGAAUACUGAGAGGCUAGAGUGUGGGAGAGGAAAGUGGAAUUCCUGGUGUAGCGGUGAAAUGCGUAGAUAUCAGGAGGAACACCGGUGGUGUAAACGGCUUUCUGGACCAUAACUGACGCUA